RNAcentral lists this ribosomal RNA (468 nucleotides) under uncultured bacterium. RNAcentral describes it as "partial 16S ribosomal RNA". It matches the Rfam family "Bacterial small subunit ribosomal RNA", at positions 28 to 507 of the family's 1533-position model. The record is from RNAcentral.
GACGAACGCUGGCGGCGUGCUUAACACAUGCAAGUCGAACGGAAAGGCCCUGCUUUUGUGGGGUGCUCGAGUGGCGAACGGGUGAGUAACACGUGAGUAACCUGCCCUUGACUUUGGGAUAACUUCAGGAAACUGGGGCUAAUACCGGAUAGGAGCUCCUGCUGCGCGGUGGGGGUUGGAAAGUUUCGGCGGUAGGGGCUGGACUCGCUGCUUAUCAGCUUGUUGGGGUGGUAGUUGAUUACCAAGGCUUUGAAGGGUAGGCGGCCUGGGAGGGUGGACAGCCACCAUGGGCCUGCGAGACGGCCCAGACUGCUAUGGGCGGCAGCAGUGGGGAAUAUUGCACAACGGGCGGAAGUCUGAUGCAGCAGCGCCGCGUGCGGGAUGACGGCCUUCGGGUUGUAAACCGCUUUCGCAUGUGACGAAGCGUGAGUGACGGUAAUGGGUAAAGAAGCACCGGCUAACUACGUG